UAGUUUUAAGUAGGCUAUGAGACGUUUUAUGCUGUAAUCAAUAUUAUAAAUAUAUUAUAAAAGACUGUUUCAGUAUAAAUAUGUUUCUUCUAAUUGGAUAUUUUAUUUUUAAUUUUAUUUAUUUAUUUAUUUUUUUUGUUUCGUAUAAUAAAUACAUUUGUUUGUUCCUUUCUCCUCCCCAAGAAAGGAGUGAGAAAUUCGACAAAUUAAAGUUGUGUGUGUGGCUAGUUUUGUUUGUUGGGGAAUCGGUCGGUCUGUGGGAUGGCCACUGAUUAUGGGAAGGUGGAAAGGUGGGGGAUUGAGAAUAGAGGUCCAAUACCCAUUUGAGAACAGGUACUGAGUAGGUCGUUGCUUGGAGAAGGAUUUGGAAAUGAUGGACUACGGUACUGUUAUCAACCUGAGUGGUUGCCGGAAACAGAGGAUACAACUUUCCUGAGUGGCAGGGCUGUGUGUCAAGAUUGCGAUAUCUAUCUUCUUGAUCGUGCUGUUGAUGCUCACACUGGAUCGGAACUAUUUAAGUACAAUUAGGAAAGUAUGAUGGGCUUCUAGAUUCUGGAUUGGAUUUCGAGCACCAGUAACUAGCUGCCCACGAAACCUCCAUGGAUCAAUAACCCACAAAAAGGAAAAGUAAAUUCUCCAUGAACAACUGGAUAUGUAUCAUCUUCUAGCCAUGGGGAAGCCAAUGUUGAAAACAACUCUGUGGUCCAACUUAAGUCUGAGAAGGGGAUUCCGAAGCUCAUUAAUGAGGAAGAGAAAGAAAGUGGCAGGAAAAUAUUUAUCAGACGAAAAUAGGGAUGCAAAGAUAUCAUCGUGGGAUCUAUAAGUCCAUUACUAGCAUCGUCUGCUCAAGCAUGUCGCAGUUGGAUGAUAAAAAUCUUGUUUUCAGCAUGUUAGAGAAUAUAUUACUUAUUAUAGUACUUAAGCCUCCCCUAGAUGAUGCCUGUGAUAUGCUAAGAGUACUAAUCACACUGGACUCAAACUCCCACAAGACUUUCUCAACAGAGUAUUACAAGUCUAGUCAAUUUCCUUUCUGAGUAUCUUCUGAGUAUCUUAUUGAUGUUGUUCAUGUAAGUAUGUUUCUUGUCUAACAUCAAAUUUAAGCUGCAUUUUAUAUUAUUUAUUUAUUUACUUUUUGCUAAACAACUUUCUUAUUAUUUACUUGCUAUACAUGUUCAAUUCUACCUUUACGCUUCCCUCUUUCUUUGUUUGUUUUCAUUAUGGCCAAGUGGACAAAUAAGUGACUACAGAAUCAUGUUUCAACUUAAUAAGUAUGUUUUCAUGCUCCUAGCAUCUCCUUUUUUAUGGAAGUGAUUAUUGAGGAGCAUUAAUUCAGUUGUUCACACUUCGGAAAUGCUACUAUGAUAAUGUCUCCUGUUUCAUUCAGUUUUUAUGGCUCAAAAUAAGCUAUGAUGACUAUAAUUGUUACCUUUAUACCAAUAUAUGGUGUCCACACUCCUUAAUUUGGGAUUUUAGGAGGGUUGAUUACGUUAAUCUAGUGAAUGCACACACCAAUUAUUUAAGGACACAAGAAAAUUAUUUUAAUUUGAUGAGAUAAAAUUACGAAAUCACAUGGUAUCUGGUAUCUGCUGCCUUCUCAUUGUGUGAUAUCAACUUCUAUGCAUAGAUUGUAGUUAAGAUGCUUCUAGUAGUGUUUGGUCGCCUGCGAUGGGCUUGUGGUAGCAUAUAUUGUUGGAUGGGUUUCAGUAAAUUAGGAGUUUUCAUGUUAGUGUCUUUUUGACAUGAUUUCCACAUCCUGCUGUGUGAACUCAUGCACUGUAUCUUAGUGUGGUUAUUUUUCUGUUUUCCAUUUAUUUCUUUCCUGAGUAAGGUGUUCGCUCAUGUUAGCAUUUUAUGAUUCUAACUGAGGCUUGUAGUUAUUCGUGGUGAUGCCUUCUAAUGUAUUCGUUCCCGAAGAUGAGUCUAUACCUUGCUUUUUUCUUGUUUGAGAGAAGCCAUGUGCUUUUAAAUCUUGUUUUGAAAAUUUUUGGCUCAAUUAUUUCUUGUAAUCGUGGUCAAUAUGCAACAAAUCCUUCAAGUACAGUAGAUUCAAUUGUUUCUUUCCUUCUAUCGAUGCACAAGGAUGUUAAGAUUUGGCAAAUUAUAUCUUCGCUCAAGGCUGAUGUUGACAGUAUUUUGCAGAAUAUUAUUUGUUUGCAGUCAUCGGAGGAAAUCAGCUUGACCCUUGAAGAAGGACACAAAGUACAACGUGCUAUCAGUCAAUUGAAUAUUAUUAGCAGCACAACCGAGAAAGGGAAAAAAAUUUAUCUUUUUAAUGGUAUAUUAUUUUUUUAUCAAUAUUGUUAAUUAAUUUUGUUAAAUAUAUUUUGCAUUUAGUUUAUUUUUCCUGCUUUGCUUUGAAUAUAUAUAUAUAUAUAU
This is a long non-coding RNA of Ziziphus jujuba (common jujube), 2376 nucleotides long. RefSeq lists it as uncharacterized. The record is from RefSeq and is a predicted model, not a curated record. The transcript has 6 exons. Lineage: Eukaryota; Viridiplantae; Streptophyta; Magnoliopsida; Rosales; Rhamnaceae.